RNAcentral lists this long non-coding RNA (218 nucleotides) under Lathyrus oleraceus (garden pea). RNAcentral's name for it is "Pisum sativum (pea) long non-coding RNA (PSAT_LNC007453)". Lineage: Eukaryota; Viridiplantae; Streptophyta; Magnoliopsida; Fabales; Fabaceae. The record is from RNAcentral.
CAGAUGAAUAUGAAAGAAAGAAUAACAAUGGUCCACAAAGCUCUCAAUCAUCAUAUAUGUCUCCCGAAUAUCUCAAUUUGCCAAUUUGAUCCAGAUAAACCAAAGGGCUUGAGGAUUGUUUCCCAAGGAAACCCUAAUUCAACUGUGCAUUGACUGUGCCUUGCUCAUGAAGCAACCUCAACCUAUGAUCAAAUCCAAUCAAUGGAAGUUCUUUCAUU